Molecule: long non-coding RNA, 930 nt
Organism: Salvia splendens (bonfire salvia)
Lineage: Eukaryota; Viridiplantae; Streptophyta; Magnoliopsida; Lamiales; Lamiaceae
Exons: 2
Source: RefSeq, a predicted model, not a curated record
GCAUCUUCAAAUAAAGGAGUCCGAUACUAAUUCGAAAGGAUCCAAUAAUUUCUCUUGUCUUCUUUAAAUUGGUCCAUAACAAGGAAAAAGAACCCUCACUUAAUAAAAUAAUUACUUGGCCAAACACAAAAAUUAAAAGUGAAACCAUACAAAACAAAACAAAAUAAAACAAAAGAGUGCGCCUCCUUCCUCAACUCACACUCCCCCUCUCUCCCCCGUCGUUCCUCUCGGCCAGUCGUGGCGUCGCCGGCGAGCAACGUCGGUCGUGCUCUACCCCUCUCUCGGUUCUCAACUCUCUCUUCCAUCAAAACCCAGUUCACUUCCUAUCUUUCUCUCUCUCCGCCACGCCGUCCGCCAUCACCAACGUCGCCGCUGUCCUAAAAAAUCAGGUACGUUUUCUUUACUUCACAUACCACUUCAUACUUUAACACACGUUUGAACCCACACACAAACUAAUAUUCUCCUUCAUUCUUGGUCAAAAACUUGAGUCGGGCUGCCGUUGGCUUCCCGGCGUGCUCGAGACCAGCCGCCGUCGGCACAACGGCUGUAGGGCAGUGGAGGCAGGGGUUCGUCGUGGCGGAGAAAGGUGCAUGGGUUUACAUGGUAAAGAGAAUAUUAUAGGGAAGAAAGGUGCAUGGGUUUACAUGGUUAAAACUUGAUUCAUAUGUGGAGGUGUAACAUCCAAAGGUUAUGGACUUUUCGAGGCAAGUUGGCUAAUCAAUCAUUCACAAUAUCAUAAAUGACAAGAAUAUUACAUCUUGUCGCUUAAAAAAACGUAUCGGGGUUCAAGGCGUGACUAUUCAGCAAGAUUCGAAGAGCAUGGGGAAUAUUUUUAUUUUUAUUUUUACUCUAAUGUUUAACUCGAUGUAGAACGUGUACGAACUGUUAUUUGAAGCCCGGUCUUAAAAAACGGACAAUAAGAAUAUUAAA